UGGUACGGCCAUAUCACGUUGAAAGCACUGGUUCUCAUCAGAUCACCGAAGUUAAGCAACAUCGAGCCUAGUUAGUACUUAGAUGGGUGACCGCUUGGGAAACCUAGGUGCUGUAAGCA
Molecule: ribosomal RNA, 119 nt
Filed under: Octopus vulgaris (common octopus)
Lineage: Eukaryota; Metazoa; Mollusca; Cephalopoda; Octopoda; Octopodidae
Also listed under: 1 other name
Source: RNAcentral